AAAACCAGGUGGUUCAAUACUCAUAAGUGGAUUUAGUCAAACAUGGAUGGCCUGGUUUGUGUUGAUAAUCUUAUCCGAAUGGUUGGGUUGUACACCUGUGGGUACUUCCGAUUGGAGUAAAUUGAUUACACUUGGAGGUCUUAAAAAUAUGAUGAAGCGGUAUAAGUGCAAAUUAGUCGCUUCCAAAGGCAUAUCUCAUAAUGUCUUCGCCGAUACUUGGACAAUAAGCAAAUGCCAGUCGAUGUGUUAUGCUGCGCGCUUCGUUAAA
This is a long non-coding RNA of Photinus pyralis (common eastern firefly), 268 nucleotides long. RefSeq lists it as uncharacterized. The record is from RefSeq and is a predicted model, not a curated record. Lineage: Eukaryota; Metazoa; Arthropoda; Insecta; Coleoptera; Lampyridae. The transcript has 2 exons.